GGAAUGGUAGAUGAAGCCUAUGUAAUGCUAAUUGAGAUGGUGAGGAGCGGAUUUGAUGCUGAUUUAUCCAUUUGCAGCAAAAUAGAGGCUGCAUUAUUUAAGUUGAAUCGGUUUGAGGAGGCAAAACAGUUGGUGGAUAUUAUGUCAGUAAGAUGCAAAGAAAAGGAAUUGAGUUAGACCAGGUUAUUUUUAAUAUCUUGGUUGACGGAAAUUUCAGAAAGGGAAUGGUAGAUGAACCCUAUGUAAUGCUAAUUGAGAUGGUGAGGAGCGGAUUUGAUGCUGAUUUAUCCAUUUGCAGCAAAAUAGAGCCUGCAUUAUUUAAGUUGAAUCGGUUUGAGGAGGCAAAACAGUUGGUGGAUAUUAUGGUUAAAGGAGAUGGAAGUCUUGAAAAUUCAGCAACUUUAGUUGAAGAAAACUUGGUUUAAGGUGGCAAAGAAUCUGAAGGAAC
Molecule: long non-coding RNA, 448 nt
Filed under: Jatropha curcas
Lineage: Eukaryota; Viridiplantae; Streptophyta; Magnoliopsida; Malpighiales; Euphorbiaceae
Description: long non-coding RNA (JCUR_LNC000466)
Source: RNAcentral